AGCUCAGCCAUGGGCGCGGGACAGCGGCAAAAGGAGCGCGUCUCCGGAGUCCGGUCGCAGCUGCUUGAGUAGCUCAGGCGGACAGCGGGGAGCCGGGCCGCCGGGGAGGACGCCUGCGCCAGACGGCAGACGGCCGGGAACAGAACAGCACCGAGGCAAGGGGCUAUCUACAAAUAAUCGCGAUCCAAAAGUACGGUGCUUUUUGUAACAUAUUGGGACCUCUAUGCAGAUACUCGGAUCGCGAUUAAAUAAUCGCGAUCCAAAUUAGGGAUCUUUAUGUAAAUUAUUAGGGGCUUAAUUGUAAAUAUUUGGAUCGCGAUUAGUAAUCGCGAUCCCAAGUAUGGGGUAUUUUGCAAAAAUUGCCGCUUCACGCCCUGCAGCAUGUCUGCAGGUGAGGCCACGCCGUCGCCGGCGCUGGCAACCGCAGUCAGCCGGGCCGCCAGGAAUCCCACGCGCCUCCUUCCAGCAGCGGCGCCGGUCCCCGGCACGCCCCUACAUCGGGUCCAGCCCGGCUACGGCGCGCCGGAGCGGCGCCGAACUCAUGCCGUCCAUGGCGUCCUCCCCCUUCCUCGUAGGCACCCUUGCAUCUGACCGGCGCUGGCGUGAUGAAUGGCCUUGGCCUGGAGCCAUGGAGGUGAAGGGGACCGACGGUGGGUGCUGGCCGAGCACGGCUGGACGGCAUGUGUGGCAGACGCGGAGCGCGCACAAAGCUCUAGCGACCCGUCGGCGGUCACUCGAUCUCGAGCCCUGCCGGAUAGAGCCGCCGACGUCUGACCAUCGCUAGCCCUCAUCCCUGCUCUUCCUCUUGGAGUCGCCGCCGCGCGCGCGACGCAGCUCUGACCCGGGCUGUUCAGUUCAAUUCCUCCCUGCCGUUUAUCAGUUCUUCCUUACGAUCGACUGACGACUGUUUUCUCUGCAAGCAAGACAGGUCCAAUCAAACAGAUCACCAACCACAUCAAAUCGUCAGAGUGAAGCAAGGAAUCUCUUCCUCUUACAACCUUUAACCCCUGUCGCCUCCUCCAUGAGGCGGCUCUUCCGCAGCUCCACCUCGCUCUUUCAAGAGACCACUGGUGAAUGGUGAUUGCACGUGCAUGUCCUAAUCAUGCUUGGAAAUUAGACGCAUUUGUGACAUAAUAUAAUCGAUCGGCGAUGCUGUGAGCUCACACAGAUGAGGCGUCUGUCACUAUAUCUCUACAGGGAUGCUGCUAAAGUGCUAAUAAUGCAACCUUUACCGACUGUUCUUGGGCCGUUCUCGCACGCUCUGCAGCCUGCGUCACGCUGUACAGCUAACUGAAUCUACGCUGCACAGUGUUGAGGGAGUGAUCGUU
This 1328-nucleotide long non-coding RNA is filed under the name Panicum hallii. Its description in RNAcentral is "long non-coding RNA (PHAL_LNC000265)". The record is from RNAcentral. Lineage: Eukaryota; Viridiplantae; Streptophyta; Magnoliopsida; Poales; Poaceae.